GAUGAACGCUAGCGGCAGGCUUAACACAUGCAAGUCGAGGGGUAACAGGUCUUCGGACGCUGACGACCGGCAAACGGGUGCGGAACACGUACGCAACAUACCCACUACAGGGGGAUAGCCCGGAGAAAUCCGGAUUAACACCCCAUAGUAUGCUUGGAGGGCAUCCUUUAAGCAUUAAAAAUUUAUUGGUAGUGGAUUGGCGUGCGUCUCAUUAGAUAGUUGGCGGGGUAACGGCCCACCAAGUCAGCGAUGGGUAGCUGGUGUGAGAGCACGACCAGCCACACGGGCACUGAGACACGGGCCCGACUCCUACGGGAGGCAGCAGUGAGGAAUAUUGGUCAAUGGGCGCAAGCCUGAACCAGCCAUGCCGCGUGGAGGAUGACAGCCUUCUGGGUUGUAAACUUCUUUUAAAUGGGAAGAAAAGCGAGGUUUCUACUUUGUCCGACGGUACCAUAUGAAUAAGCACCGGCUAACUCCGUGCCAGCAGCCGCGGUAAUACGGAGGGUGCG
Molecule: ribosomal RNA, 509 nt
Filed under: uncultured bacterium
Lineage: Bacteria
Description: bacterial SSU rRNA
Rfam family: Bacterial small subunit ribosomal RNA
Source: RNAcentral